UCCGGUUUGUCACCGGCAGUCUCCCUAGAGUUCCCGGCCGAACCGACCCCCGGCUCUCACCGGGGUGCGACCGCCAUGUCAAGGGCUGGUAAGGUUCUGCGCGUUGCGUCGAAUUAAACCACAUGCUCCACCGCUUGUGCGGGCCCCCGUCAAUUCCUUUGAGUUUUAACCUUGCGGCCGUACUCCCCAGGCGGUGGGCUUAAUGCGUUAGCGUCGACACUGCGGGGCAAGCCCCCCAACGUCUGGCCCACAUCGUUUAGGGCGUGGACUAC
Molecule: unclassified non-coding RNA, 272 nt
Filed under: uncultured Pseudomonadota bacterium
Lineage: Bacteria; Pseudomonadati; Pseudomonadota
Description: uncultured proteobacterium contains 16S-23S intergenic spacer region
Source: RNAcentral